CUGAUUUUCUGAAAGUUCAAAUAGAAAGACAUGGCUUAUGUCACAGCUGUCUUGCUUCUGACUAGCAUUUGAAGUUUGCCCCGUUUUUAUAGGAAGUUCAGGGCCCAGAUUAGUAUAUGUUUUGAAUGGGAUUUGAUUGGUAGAGGAUAAACACAUGACGGGGCUUAGAAAUGUUUGGGGGUUCUCCGCUGCAUCCAUGUGUAACAAGUGACAAUGUUUGGCAUCGUGAGUUAAGGCUGAUAUGGUACAAGGGCCACAACUACAAUUUCCAUUUGGCUUGAUUUGAUUCUGAUGUACUUGACUCAAAGAGCUUGGAGUUUUAUGUGUGACACUUAUCAAAUAUCUGUGUGUGUACGAAGAAGCACGGUGUAGUGGUUCACAUGUUGGGGGUCAUGAUCGUCAGGGUGUGUGUUCAAGGCAAAAUCAUCAUCAUCAUCAUUUAACGUCCGUUUUCCAUGCUAGCAUGAGUUGGAUGGUUCGACCGGGGUCUGGUAAGCCAUGGAGGUUGCACCAGGCUCUAGUCUGAUCUGGCAGUGUUUCUACAGCUGGAUGCCCUUCCUAACGCCAACAACUCCGUGAGUGUAGUGGGUGUUUUUCACGUGCCUCUGGCACAGGGCCCAGAGCUGGGGUCGAUUUGCUUGUCUAAAGGCAGUGCUCCAGCAUGGCCACAGUCAAAUGACUAAAACAAGUAAAAGAGAAAAGAGAAAUAGAUACUAUGUGUAGCAAAAUAGCUUUUCAAUAGGAAUAAGUUUCUACAGAUUUCACCUCCAACAUUUUUCCAGUCCUGAUCAAUAACGAGGUCAUGUCUCUGGAAAAAACCUUAAUGUCAAACAACAACGAAUAGAUCUUCCACUUGUGUAUACAUCUGCGGAUUACAUGAACAUAAUCCACAGAAUGAUUUUCCAGUCUAUUUCACUCAGAUAAAUUUUGCUCCAGAUUGUAUAAACUUGUGAUUCACAGGUUUUGACUUGUUUCAAACUGAAAGAUUCCCUACAUAUUUCAAAUUGAUAUUGUCUUUUGUCUAUUGUGUUUUCACUUUAACAAGUUCAUAACAAGUAUUUCCCAAAUUUUCUUUGUGAGAUAAACAGUUCUCAUGUUUCACAGUUGAAAAUUAGAUCCCCUCCAGCAUGUAUCUGUUUGUGCCUUGUUAAAUUACUAUUAUACGCAAAAGAUUUGCCAAGAAAGAGUGAGAGAAAGUUGUGGUGAAAGAGUACAGCAGGGUUCACCACCACCCCCUGCCGGAGCCUCAUGGAGCUUUUAGGUAUUUUUGCUCAAUAAACACUCACAAUGCCCGGUCUGGGAAUCGAAACAGCGAUCCUACGACCGCGAGUCCGCUGCCCUAACCACUGGUUCAUUGCGCCUCCACGAUUUUCCCACAUAAUUCAGAGUUAAAAUGUCAGAACAAAAAUGGGUCUCACAACAGAUUUGUGAGAGAAACAGUCCUCAUGUUUCACAGUUGAAAAUUAGAUCCCCUCCAGCAUGUAUCUGUUUGUGCCUUGUUAAAUUACUAUUAUAUGCAAAAGAUUUACCACAUACUUGACAGUAGAAAGGUUUUCCUCCAGUGUGUAUAAUUUUGUGUGCUGUUAUAUAACUACUGGCCAAAAAGGACUUGCCGCAAAUAUCACAGUGAUAAGGUUUCACCCCAGUAUGACUUCGUAUAUGGACGACAAGUUUUGAAUUAUUAAUAAAGGUUUU
This 1695-nucleotide long non-coding RNA is filed under the name Octopus vulgaris (common octopus). Lineage: Eukaryota; Metazoa; Mollusca; Cephalopoda; Octopoda; Octopodidae. The record is from RNAcentral.